GCUCGAAACAAAUCUCACAUCCACUCCACCUCCUGCUCCGCUUCCCACUCACCUCCCCCUCCCCCUCCAAAGCGCCGCCGCCAACCACCACAUCUCCGGCCACCAGAGUCUCCCCUCCCCUCCAUCGUGGCUGCUGCUCUCGGAUCGACCUCCGCAUCCGGGGGCCAACUCCUACAUCCACGGCGACGGCCUCCCCAUCCGGCGGAUUCGUCUUCUCCUCCACGAAGAGGCCAUGGCAGGAGGAGCCCCAAACCCUAUUAGCACCCGCCAUGCCGACCUAGCACCAGGAACCGGCCGGCGCAUCCUGCAGCCGCCGGUCCAGCAUGGCCUCGACGACUCCAAGGCGAGGAUGAUGACGACGAGGACCCGAGCUCUAGCCCCACCGGCAUGGUCCCUGCUGCCUGCCGGUAACAAAUCCCUGCAGAUAUGCACCAUAUGGGAGAUCCUUCUCGCCGGACUUCGGGAGGAGGCGGUCCCUCGGUGAUGGGGUUGAGAGCUGCCGUGAUGGGGCUGUCGCUCAAUAUCGAGAUGCCUCUCGCCUCUACCUGCUGCACCAUCAAGUCAUCUUCCUUGGCCACCAAACGCUGCGAUUUUUUAUGCCAAAUUAACAAAUGACCUCCUUCCUUGUUCUUCUAUUACUAGUGUAUACACAUUAGUAGUACUGCCACUGUAUGAUGGAUGUGUGUUGUUCUCUGAUGCAAAAAAUUCCUCACUUUCCUUUACUCACUAGUAUAGUAAAAAAACACGAUUGAUUAAUCAUUAUGGGUGGUGAAUCAUGUAUGUAUUUCAUUACAGAAAACACUGCUUGCUUGUAUUUGCAUCUUUGCAGGCAUGUAUCAUGUAUGCAGCAGGCGAGGAUGAGGACCUGAGCUCGAGCCUGACCAUGAUGGCGCACAUCACAAGGUCCCUACUGCCCGCCGGUUUCGCAGCAUUCUCAGCAGGAGAAGUGGUGGGUGUUUUUUGACUUUGACGUUGGGAAAGCACUUGGGAGGGGCAAGUUCGGGCAUGUUUACUUGGCCAGAGAAAAGAGGAUUGAUGACAGGUUCAAUUUUAUCUCAUGAGAUGAUGCGUGCGUGGUUUUGACUUAAAGGAUAAAUGAUUUGUGAAGCUUACCUACCGGAGAUCCCUUGAUGAUAAUGCUGCUAAGUUAUUCUGCCUUUGUAGCCUUAGGGCCUGGAUUGCAAACUCAAGAUACCCUGACGAGGUCCGCAUGAGAGUUUGCAAAGGAGCUGGAGUGCUGGACGUGCAGGGGCAUGGUAUCCUGAUGAGAUGACAGUGGCCAACACCACCUACAUGGGCUUGGACGCCCUCCACUCUGCAGGCGGCCUUGGCAAGCUGACGGUCUACUAGAACCAACUUCGUGUAGGAGGUCAAGAUGGACGUCGACACGCUGAAACCGAUCUGGGUUCAGGUCUGCAUCAAAGGCAACAUCUAACUCAUUGACAAGGGCAUCCACGUGGGUCAUCAAUGGUGUGGUCCAAAAAGACGAGAAGCACGGCUGCCGUGACGAUGGUGGACAUCGCCACCUACCCGCUGCCCAAGAGGACCAAGCUUGGCUAUCCCGAUGCCUCCAUUUCUUCACAAUCUCUCGCCAGGAGAGUAGGAGGGGCGGCAACUGCUUCCUUGGCCGAGCUUGUCUCCACUAGGCUGCUUGUGCAGGAUUUGGCUCUGCGGUUCAAUUUCAACGCUGUGGGGGAGCUGGUGCCAUUGUGGGCUACCUAUUGUUAGGGUUCAUCUUCCAAUGAUUGUAGCCGUGGCGAGGUUAGGCCUGCUUCCUGCCAUGUACAGCGUUGAUGCAAGCUGCUGGCUUGCCCAACACCGUACCAUGCAUGUGCUCCUCCACGAACCUCUUCAGAUGGUUUGAGGAUUUGGCUCUGCGGUUCAAUUUCAACGCUGUGGGGGAGCUGGUGCCAUUGUGGGCUACCUGUCGUUAGGGUUCAUCUUCCAAUGAUUGUAGCCGUGGCGAGGUUACGCCCGCUUCGUGCCAUGUGCAGCGUUGAUGCAAGCUGCUGGCUUGCCCAACACCGUACCAUGCAUGUGCUCCUCCACGAACCUCGUCAGAUGGUGUGAGCUUUUUUGGUUUGCAUGACAAUUCGUGAAAGAGGAUGCCUCCAUUUCCUCCUAGUUUGGCGUCUCUUGCACAAGACGAGCCCAUGCAGCAACUGGCGAUGGCGUCGAACGACACUAAAUACCGCUGGAACCCCUCUCCUACAGACAACAGAUCUGUGACUAGCCUUGCAUGAUGAAUUGGUGAUGAUGCUGGUCAAGAUUUGGUGAUUCUUUUGCUGUCGAUGGUGCAUUGCUGGUGGAAAAUCUUCUCUCAUCUACCUUGGAUGCUGAUGAUGCUGGUCAAUGCUUUCAUGAUUCUCGUGUUGUCCACGGUGCAUUGCUUGUGGAGCAGCUUCUCUCAUCAAGUGAGGACUUUUUCCACAUAAUCAUGGAUUACUUCAUCUGUGUUGAUCAAGAAGUAUAGCAAGGAGAUCAGCAAGGACAACCAUGCUCUUGGAAAGCUGAGGAAGGAAGCUGAGGGUGCCAGUAGAGCCCUCAGUAACCAGCACCCGGUCUGUGUUGAGUUCGAGUCCCUCUUCGACGGGACUGAUUUCUCGGAACCACCGACCCAUGCCAGGUUAGAGGAACUCAACAAUGAUCUGUUCCGCAUGACCAUGGUACUCGUGAAGAACGCCAUGGAUGACGCUGGCCUCGAGGAGAGCCAGAUCCACAAAGUUGUUUCUUGUCGGUGGCAGCACCAGGAUUCCCAAAGGUCCCGCAGCUCAUCAGGGACUACUUCGACGACAAGGAGCCAGACAAGGGUGUGAACCCUGAUGAGGCUGUUGCCUUUGGUGCUACAGCGCAGGGAAGCAUCUUGAGUGGGAGGGUGGUGUCGGAACCAGUGGGAGUGGCCUGGCUUGAUGGUGAGGAUGGCGGCGCAAUCUAUGCUUGAGACGAUGGGAGGUCAGUUAGCUGCUGGAAAUCUGAUGGUCCGAAGGGCGAGAAGAUGGGUCGAUUUUUCUUUACAUUUCCGGGGAGAGCAUAUCUGUCUAAAGAAAAGAAAAGCCUGGAAGUUGUGGUUGUUAGCAGCCAGGCCAUCGAGGGAACUUGACACGCUCAAGUGGCUAUCUGGGUUGUGCCCAGAAGCUGGCUGUUAGAUUCAUAGGCUUCUCAGCUAGUUUGUUGUGGUGUUGAAAUAGCCUCUUGUUUUUAGAAUUGUGUUGAAGAGCUAAGCUUAGCUUCAUGUGGUUGAUUUUUGUUGGUGUGGAACAUGUUGCCUUGGCAGGAUGAUUUUGGACGGACUGGUUGCUCUACAAAGGAAUGAAUUCGAUUCGAGUGCAUGAGUGAAUGAGUUUCUGGAUUCCCAACAGACCCUUGUUGAUUCGGAUCAUGAUUUUUCUGUUUUGGCUGAAAAGAGUCCAUUGCAACUGUGUCGGCGUGCUAGUCGUCGCUGUGGGUUUUCUGCUCCCUGCAGCAGUACUUUUGUGCUUGUAAAAUACUCCCUCUGACCCUAAAUAAGUGGCGUGGUAUUAGUUCACUUAUUUUGGAUUGGAGGGAGUAGUUGUUUUGUACUCAUACAUAAGGAGGGAGCUUGAACUUAUUCUGGACUAUGGAUGAGAAGUCCCUUGUUCUGUACGUUGUUUUCCGGACCAUACAUAAUGAGAAGUCACUUAUUUUA
Long non-coding RNA from Triticum dicoccoides, 3667 nucleotides. RefSeq lists it as uncharacterized. The record is from RefSeq and is a predicted model, not a curated record. NCBI's taxonomy places the organism in Eukaryota, Viridiplantae, Streptophyta, Magnoliopsida, Poales, Poaceae. The transcript is spliced from 17 exons.